UGGGGGAUAUUGCACAAUGGGGGAAACCCUGAUGCAGCGACGCCGCGUGGAGGAAGAAGGUUUUCGGAUUGUAAACUCCUGUCGUUAGGGACGAUAAUGACGGUACCUAACAAGAAAGCACCGGCUAACUACGUGCCAGCAGCCGCGGUAAAACGUAGGGUGCAAGCGUUGUCCGGAAUUACUGGGUGUAAAGGGAGCGCAGGCGGACCGGCAAGUUGGAAGUGAAAACUAUGGGCUCAACCCAUAAAUUGCUUUCAAAACUGCUGGCCUUGAGUAGUGCAGAGGUAGGUGGAAUUCCCGGUGUAGCGGUGGAAUGCGUAGAUAUCGGGAGGAACACCAGUGGCGAAGGCGACCUACUGGGCACCAACUGACGCUGAGGCUCGAAAGCAUGGGUAGCAAACAGGAUUAGAUACCCUGGUA
Molecule: ribosomal RNA, 420 nt
Filed under: uncultured bacterium
Lineage: Bacteria
Description: bacterial SSU rRNA
Rfam family: Bacterial small subunit ribosomal RNA
Source: RNAcentral